UACAGAGGUCUCAAGCGUUGUUCGGAAUUACUGGGCGUAAAGGGCGCGUAGGCGGUUCGCUAAGUUGGAUGUGAAAACUCUGGGCUCAACCCAGAGCCUGCAUCCAAAACUGGCGGGCUAGAGUUCUGGAGGGGGUAGCGGAAUUCCUGGUGUAGCGGUGAAAUGCGUAGAUAUCAGGAGGAACACCGGUGGCGAAGGCGGCUACCUGGACAGAAACUGACGCUGAGGCGCGAAAGCUAGGGGAGCAAACAGG
RNAcentral lists this ribosomal RNA (253 nucleotides) under uncultured bacterium. RNAcentral describes it as "partial 16S ribosomal RNA". It matches the Rfam family "Bacterial small subunit ribosomal RNA", at positions 524 to 776 of the family's 1533-position model. The record is from RNAcentral.